Molecule: ribosomal RNA, 383 nt
Filed under: uncultured eukaryote
Lineage: Eukaryota
Description: partial 18S ribosomal RNA
Rfam family: Eukaryotic small subunit ribosomal RNA
Source: RNAcentral
CAAUAGCGUAUAUUAAAGUUGUUGCAGUUAAAAAGCUCGUAGUUGGAUUUCUGGUGGGAGCGAUCGGUCUGGCGCUUAGCGCGAGUACUUGCAUCGUCUCCGGCCAUCCUUGGGGAGAGUCUGUCUGGCAUUAAGUUGUCGGGCAGAGGAUCCUCAUCGUUUACUGUGAAAAAAUUAGAGUGUUCAAAGCAGGCUUAUGCCGUUGAAUAUAUUAGCAUGGUAUAAUAAGAUAGGACUUUGGUACUAUUUUGUUGGUUUGCGCACCAAAGUAAUGAUUAAUAGGGACAGUUGGGGGUAUUCGUAUUCCGUUGUCAGAGGUGAAAUUCUUGGAUUUACGGAAGACGAACUACUGCGAAAGCAUUUACCAAGGAUGUUUUCAUUAA